RNAcentral lists this ribosomal RNA (458 nucleotides) under uncultured bacterium. RNAcentral's name for it is "partial 16S ribosomal RNA". It matches the Rfam family "Bacterial small subunit ribosomal RNA", at positions 338 to 795 of the family's 1533-position model. The record is from RNAcentral.
CCUACGGGUGGCAGCAGUGAGGAAUAUUGGUCAAUGGGCGAGAGCCUGAACCAGCCAAGUCGCGUGAGGGAGUACUGCCCUAUGGGUUGUAAACCUCUUUUGUCGGGGAGCAAAAGCCGGACGUGUCCGGCUGUGAGAGUACCCGAAGAAAAAGCAUCGGCUAACUCCGUGCCAGCAGCCGCGGUAAUACGGAGGAUGCGCGCGUUAUCCGGAUUUAUUGGGUUUAAAGGGUGCGCAGGCGGAUUUUUAAGUCAGCGGUAAAAUCGUGGGGCUCAACCCCAUCCAGCCGUUGAAACUGGGGAUCUAGAGUGUGCGAGAGGUAUGCGGAAUGCGUGGUGUAGCGGUGAAAUGCAUAGAUAUCACGCAGAACCCCGAUUGCGAAGGCAGCAUACCGGUGCACAACUGACGCUCAGGCACGAAAGCGUGGGUAUCGAACAGGAUUAGAUACCCCAGUAGUC